UGCAGUGGGCGUAUUGUGUCGAGUGAUAUCCAGAUGGUCGGCAUUGGUUUCUAAUUUGACGUACUGAAGCCGUCUGGAACAAGAGUGCUAAGAGCCAAGCCAUGGGGAAGAAAAUUCAUUCUCUCUGUUCACAUGACCAGUGUUGUAGAUCCUGCCAAUACGGAAGUUCAGCCAAUGUUGUAGCACGACAAGUUGAUGCCCUCGUUACGUCGUGCGGUUCGGGUUAGUUUCACCGAGAUGAUGAAAAGCUAAUAUAAAAGCUGUACAAAAACGAAAGCAAAUCUCAGAGGAGCAGGCAAAAUGCAUGGACAUAAUUUAAGUUGCUUCUGUAAAAUCAACAAAACAAACAAAAAAUAUUGUAAAAUUGAAUUAAAUU
This 376-nucleotide unclassified non-coding RNA is filed under the name Daphnia magna. Its description in RNAcentral is "uncharacterized LOC116915510, transcript variant X2". The record is from RNAcentral. Lineage: Eukaryota; Metazoa; Arthropoda; Branchiopoda; Diplostraca; Daphniidae.